GAUGAACGCUGGCGGCGUGCCUAAUACAUGCAAGUCGAGCGAACGGACGAGAAGCUUGCUUCUCUGAUGUUAGCGGCGGACGGGUGAGUAACACGUGGAUAACCUACCUAUAAGACUGGGAUAACUUCGGGAAACCGGAGCUAAUACCGGAUGAUAUUUUGAACCGCAUGGUUCAAAAGUGAAAGACGGUCUUGCUGUCACUUAUAGAUGGAUCCGCGCUGCAUUAGCUAGUUGGUAAGGUAACGGCUUACCAAGGCAACGAUGCAUAGCCGACCUGAGAGGGUGAUCGGCCACACUGGAACUGAGACACGGUCCAGACUCCUACGGGAGGCAGCAGUAGGGAAUCUUCCGCAAUGGGCGAAAGCCUGACGGAGCAACGCCGCUUGAGUUAUGAAGGUCUUCGGAUCGUAAAACUCUGUUAUUAGGGAAGAACAUAUGUGUAAGUAACUGUGCACAUCUUGACGGUACCUAAUCAGAAAGCCACGGCUAACUACGUG
Molecule: ribosomal RNA, 497 nt
Filed under: uncultured bacterium
Lineage: Bacteria
Description: partial 16S ribosomal RNA
Rfam family: Bacterial small subunit ribosomal RNA
Source: RNAcentral